AUGGCCUGGACCCCGCUCCUCCUGGGCCUCCUGGCUCACUGCACAGGUUCUGUAUCUUCCUAUGAGCUGAAUCAACCUCCCUCACUGUCUGUGAGUCCAGGAGCGGAGGCCAAGAUGACCUGUAGUGGAAACAAUAUUGGAAGCAAAUAUGUUUACUGGUACCAGCAGAAGCCAGGCCAGGCCCCUGUGCUGGUCAUUUACGAAAACAGCAAACGGCCCUCGGGGAUCCUGACCGCUUCUCUGGCUCCAACUCUGGGGGCACAGCCACCCUGACCAUCAGUGGUGUGCGCACUGAGGACGAGGCUGACUAUUACUGUCAGGUGGGGGACAGUGGUGCUCACAGUGACACGGACAGAUGGGGAAGUGAGACACAAACAUCUGCCCAUCUGUGUCACACUCUCCUCAGGCCAGGAUCCCUGUAG
Non-coding RNA from Sorex araneus (European shrew), 422 nucleotides. NCBI's taxonomy places the organism in Eukaryota, Metazoa, Chordata, Mammalia, Eulipotyphla, Soricidae. The record is from the annotation of a RefSeq genome assembly.